AUACGUAGGUGGCGAGCGUUAUCCGGAAUUAUUGGGCGUAAAGAGUGCGUAGGUGGUUUGGUAAGCGUGGGGUGAAAGGCAAUAGCUUAACUAUUGUAAGCCUUGCGAACUGCCAGACUUGAGUGCAGGAGAGGAAAGUGGAAUUCCUAGUGUAGCGGUGAAAUGCGUAGAUAUUAGGAGGAACACCAGUGGCGAAGGCGACUUUCUGGACUGUAACUGACACUGAGGCACGAAAGCGUGGGGAGC
Molecule: ribosomal RNA, 246 nt
Filed under: uncultured bacterium
Lineage: Bacteria
Description: partial 16S ribosomal RNA
Rfam family: Bacterial small subunit ribosomal RNA
Source: RNAcentral